This 253-nucleotide ribosomal RNA is filed under the name uncultured bacterium. Its description in RNAcentral is "partial 16S ribosomal RNA". It matches the Rfam family "Bacterial small subunit ribosomal RNA", at positions 524 to 776 of the family's 1533-position model. The record is from RNAcentral.
UACGAAGGAUGCAAGCGUUACUCGGAAUUACUGGGCGUAAAGCGUGCGUAGGUGGUGAGUUAAGUCUGUCGUGAAAGCCCCGGGCUCAACCUGGGAAUGGCGAUGGAUACUGGCUCGCUAGAGUGCGGUAGAGGAGAGUGGAAUUCCCGGUGUAGCAGUGAAAUGCGUAGAGAUCGGGAGGAACAUCAGUUGCGAAGGCGGCUCUCUGGACCAGCACUGACACUGAGGCACGAAAGCGUGGGGAGCAAACAGG